ACUCCUACGGGAGGCAGCAGUGAGGAAUAUUGGGCAAUGCCCGCAAGGGUGACCCAGCAACGCCGCGUGGAGGAUGAAGGUUCUCUGAGUCGUAAACUCCUGUCGGCCGGGACGAAUGGACGGGGUGCUAAUCAGCCCCGUCUUGACUGUACCGGCAAAGGAAGCCCCGGCUAACUCCGUGCCAGCAGCCGCGGUAAUA
RNAcentral lists this ribosomal RNA (199 nucleotides) under uncultured soil bacterium. Its description in RNAcentral is "partial 16S ribosomal RNA". It matches the Rfam family "Bacterial small subunit ribosomal RNA", at positions 335 to 525 of the family's 1533-position model. The record is from RNAcentral.